Carassius gibelio (silver crucian carp) is the source of this 1166-nucleotide long non-coding RNA. RefSeq lists it as uncharacterized. NCBI's taxonomy places the organism in Eukaryota, Metazoa, Chordata, Actinopteri, Cypriniformes, Cyprinidae. The record is from RefSeq and is a predicted model, not a curated record. The transcript has 3 exons.
UGUGAUGCGUUUGCUUCACCAGUUCACAUCUCUCACUCCAGAGCAGAUUCACACAUCAACUCUGAGCAGCUCAGUGCACUGCAUCUUCUCCAGAAUCUACGACAGUCAGCAUGGUUUUCACUGUGUGUAUGAGGGUCCUCCUUGGGAUUAUUCUGCUUUCUUGUAUUCAGAGUGUGAUGAAUGAAAAUGUGGACAUUAACACCCUUUCCAGGAUUCAAAAGUUUUUUCAUCGAAGCUAUGCAAGCAGUACUGGCCAGUAUGCAGUGGCCAUAAAUGUCCCAAAGGUGCAGUGUCGAAGUGGUUUCUAUCCAUCAGCAAGAAACUUUCUGCGGAAUGAUAGAUCAGAAGACGUUAGACCUUACAUAAAUCCUGACAGCAUGGAUGUCUAUGAAGGCACUGAACUCAUCGCUGCAGGGCAUCAUAUAAAUGCACAUUCAGAGGAUUUACUGAUGAAUCCUCAAAACAAUUCUCCUCUGACAGACUUAAUGAGAAACAAUGAUGGAUGUGUGGUUUUCUACACCUUAAACUCUCCCUGUAUAAACAGAUGUCUUAAUAAUGUUAAUAACAAUAUUAUACCAGGUCUUGAGAAAUUAAGGGCAUACCGGGGAAUUAAAGCCUUUGUUUACACAUAUAUCUAUUAUAAUGACCAAAACAAUGCAAAUCUGCGCGCGGGACUACAGAAGAUUGCUGAUCGUGUGCCACUUUACCGCUGUAACAGACGAGGUUGUAUCUUUUGUGGAGAACCAGGUUCAAAUAUAGUGGAUAACCGAUGUUUGAGGUCUCACUUUCUCACUUGAGUUUCUUGUGUGACAGAAAUGCUUUAGAUUACCUGAUGUGCUAGUAAGCUGCUAAGUCUUUUGAAGAUAUGCUUCAUUGCUCAUUUGGAGUCUUUCAUAUGUUGCCUUUUGCUUUUUCUUUCAUAAAGUCGACCUAUAUUUCUUACACAUGAGUAAAUUCUGACAGGAGAGCAAAAACGUUCAUUCGAAAUUGCUGUUUUAUGAAAAAAGUACCAGUAAAUUAAAGCCAUUAUGACCAUAUGGGUUGGACCACAAUGUUUUUCAAUAAUCUUUGUAUUAAAUUGCUCAUUUGUUUAUGCUUGGAUAACAAUAUUUGUAAUGCUUCCAUAAACGCUUCUUGGAAAAAUAAAUACUUUUUUAAGCACCAUC